CGCUCCUCGCCUCGCGUCCCCAAAGUCGUUCGCGUCAAAUCUGGCAAAGCGCAACUUUCGCUCAUUUGUCAGCGACCGCUGCUGAGCGUACGUCAGUCGGUAGCUCGGUCGUGUUAAACAAACUAUGCAAAAACGGGCAAUUUUCGUCCAUUUUUCGUGAGCCGCUGCUAGGCAACACGCAGCCGAAGCUCGGUCGAGGCGCGUCGGUACGUCGGCGUGCGAUGCGGGCGCCGCGCCGCGCCGUGCCCCCCGCGGUGCCGGCGAGACCCUCUGCCGGCCUGCCCCGCGCAUCGUGGUCGCGGGGCGUCGCGUCGCUGCUCACCGAGCUUUCAUCCCUUUCAUCGCGGGAAGCCGACCUGAGGCGCCCGGCGGCGCCACCGAGCCCCGGCCCGCCCAUGACGGAUCGCGGGUCGGACGCUCAUUGCCGUGAAAUGACUCAAGUUUUUCAACGCGUCGUCCCCGGGAGGAGAAGGGCGUGGACCUGAGCCCGUGUUUGUCGCCUCGACGCCAUGCGGCCGCCCACAGCUGUCGCCCUGCAAGGGGAGGGGGAAGGGUGGGGGCGCCACCACGGGGAGGAUCCUGGCACGACCCCAGACGACGUCGUCCUCGCCAUGCCCUGGAGGGCCAUCUUCGGACCGACGUCGCCGCCGACCGGGGCCGUGCACAGGAUUCUGGGGGCGCCCUGGCCGUGGCCCCGGGCCUGCUGGUGGGUCAGCAUCGCCCUGCAGGACCGCGCCUUCCUGGCCUGCGAGCUGGCCAUGGCGAAGGCCCCAAGCCGAGCGGCAUCCGACCCACAUCCAGCGGAUCCGGACAUUGACUGAUCAACAGAGUGAUGGGCACGUCACGAGAAACGGGGAGGGAAACGGGCGUCCCGUACUCCAGAGGCAGAGGCCGGCAGAUUACAAAACAUCACAAAAAUUGCAAAAGAAAUAAAACGUGUAGGUCAUUUUA
Molecule: long non-coding RNA, 951 nt
Organism: Frankliniella occidentalis (western flower thrips)
Lineage: Eukaryota; Metazoa; Arthropoda; Insecta; Thysanoptera; Thripidae
Exons: 2
Source: RefSeq, a predicted model, not a curated record